Molecule: transfer RNA, 74 nt
Filed under: Caudoviricetes sp.
Lineage: Duplodnaviria; Heunggongvirae; Uroviricota; Caudoviricetes
Description: tRNA-Met
Rfam family: tRNA
About the family: Transfer RNA (tRNA) molecules are approximately 80 nucleotides in length. Their secondary structure includes four short double-helical elements and three loops (D, anti-codon, and T loops).
Source: RNAcentral
GGGCCUUUAGCUCAAUAGGUUAGAGCAGCAGACUCAUAAUCUGAAGGUUACAGGUUCAAUCCCUGUAAGGCCCA